GAUGAACGCUGGCGGCGUGCCUAAUACAUGCAAGUCGAGCGAACAGACGAGGAGCUUGCUCCUCUGACGUUAGCGGCGGACGGGUGAGUAACACGUGGAUAACCUACCUAUAAGACUGGGAUAACUUCGGGAAACCGGAGCUAAUACCGUAUAAUAUAUUGAACCGCAUGGUUCAAUAGUGAAAUACGGUUUUGCUGUCACUUAUAGAUGGAUCCGCGCCGCAUUAGCUAGUUGGUAAGGUAACGGCUUACCAAGGCAACGAUGCGUAGCCGACCUGAGAGGGUGAUCGGCCACACUGGAACUGAGACACGGUCCAUACGCCUACGGGAGGCAGCAGUAGGGAACCGUCCGCAAUGGGCGAAAGCCUGACGGAGCAACGCCGAGUGAGAGAUGAAGGUCUUCGGAUCGUAAAACUCUGUUAUUAGGGAAGAACAAAUGUGUAAGUAACUAUGCACGUCGUGACGGUACCUAAUCAGAAAGCCACGGCUAACUACGUG
RNAcentral lists this ribosomal RNA (497 nucleotides) under uncultured bacterium. RNAcentral's name for it is "partial 16S ribosomal RNA". It matches the Rfam family "Bacterial small subunit ribosomal RNA", at positions 28 to 507 of the family's 1533-position model. The record is from RNAcentral.